Non-coding RNA from Rattus norvegicus (Norway rat), 63 nucleotides. The record is from Rfam. NCBI's taxonomy places the organism in Eukaryota, Metazoa, Chordata, Mammalia, Rodentia, Muridae.
GGGGAUUUAGCUUAGUGGUAGAGCGCUUGCCUAGCAAGCGCAAGGCCCUGGGUUCAGUCCCCA